UACGGAGGGUGCUAGCGUUGUUCGGAAUCAUUGGGCGUAAAGGGCGCGUAGGCGGUCUGUUACGUCCGUUGUGAAAUCCCCUCGCUCAACGAGGGAGCUGCGUCGGAUACUGGCAGACUUGAGUACCGGAGAGGAAGGUGGAAUUCCCGGUGUAGCGGUGAAAUGCGCAGAUAUCAGGAGGAACACCGAUGGCGAAGGCAGGUCUCUGGGCCGAUACUGACGCUGAGGAGCGAAAGCGUGGGGAGCGAACGGG
Molecule: ribosomal RNA, 253 nt
Filed under: uncultured bacterium
Lineage: Bacteria
Description: partial 16S ribosomal RNA
Rfam family: Bacterial small subunit ribosomal RNA
Source: RNAcentral